This 244-nucleotide long non-coding RNA is filed under the name Brachypodium distachyon (stiff brome). Its description in RNAcentral is "long non-coding RNA (BDIS_LNC000985)". Lineage: Eukaryota; Viridiplantae; Streptophyta; Magnoliopsida; Poales; Poaceae. The record is from RNAcentral.
GUUGCUAUAUGAUCUAAUCUCUUCAGCUCAAACAAGAUUACAAACUAUAUCUUCUAGAAAAGCAUGUUGCGUGUGAAGGCAAAAUCUGAUUUAUAUCUAACAACUUACACAACAUUAUAAAAUGGGUUUCACAAAAGAAUGCAAUCCAGAUCUAUGCUUGACAUGUAAAGUAAUGAGGAUGAGUCACAUCGAUUAUCCAUCUUAGCUCAAAGCCAGAUAUGUUCUGGAAAGUACAUUUCAUGAU